Long non-coding RNA from Bactrocera neohumeralis, 702 nucleotides. RefSeq lists it as uncharacterized. The record is from RefSeq and is a predicted model, not a curated record. The transcript has 2 exons. NCBI's taxonomy places the organism in Eukaryota, Metazoa, Arthropoda, Insecta, Diptera, Tephritidae.
GCAUAUGUAUUUAUGUGGGGGUGUGUGUGUGGAAACGCAUCGAUUAGACAUUCAACGCGCUCGCGAUCACGUAUGCAUUGCCAAUAGUGAAGUAGAGAGAGCUGGACGCCGCGCGAGGGUCGAAAUUAGGAAAAAAUAGCAGUAAAUUUCACAACAUUACAAACAUACAGUACAUACAUUUACAUAUACAUAUAUGUAUGUAUGUAUGUAUAUUUGUAUUAUAAAUAAAGUGUGCGGAAAUCUGACUGAUUAAGUGCAAAACAAAAUUGCUGUUUCUAUUAUUAAGCGAGCGAUUGGCAACAAGUGGCGAACGCAGCGGGUCACUAUGGGUUGCCGAUGUUUUGCAUGGCAGUGGAUUUGGCGUCUCGACGUGUUUGCUGAGAAAUAGGUGCCAAGAACAGCCGCUUUCAUACGUCACACAUAAGCUUGUCAAUGUUCGCACACCCUCUUGAUGAAGUCACACAGUCGCGACGUGUGUGUGUGUAUGCCUUCACUUAGCAGCUGCUCGUUUGAGAGCUUUCAGCCGUUGAGCUUUGCCCUCAGCCACCAACCAGCAUUGCCAGUUGCGUUUUUUUUCUCCGAAAUGUAUUAAAAUCAAAUUUUUUUUGAAAAACACUUUUCCUUAACAAGUUUUCACUUACCUACAAUUUUCUUUCACUAGUUGUCUAUGUAUAUAAAUAAAGUUGCGAAAAAGACUUUGAA